Molecule: ribosomal RNA, 768 nt
Filed under: Nematus sp. 1_KMKC
Lineage: Eukaryota; Metazoa; Arthropoda; Insecta; Hymenoptera; Tenthredinidae
Description: SSU rRNA
Rfam family: Eukaryotic small subunit ribosomal RNA
Source: RNAcentral
AUAGCGUAUAUUAAAGUUGUUGCGGUUAAAAAGCUCGUAGUUGAAUCUGUGUCCCACGCUGUCGGUUCGCCGCUCGCGGUGUUUAACUGGCAUGAUUGUGGGACGUCCUACCGGUGGGCUUAGCCUCUCGGGGCGGCCCAACUAAUAUCCCAUCGCGGUGCUCUUCACUGAGUGUCGAGGUGGGCCGGUACGUUUACUUUGAACAAAUUAGAGUGCUUAAAGCAGGCUACUUUCGCCUGAAUACUGUGUGCAUGGAAUAAUGGAAUAGGACCUCGGUUCUAUUUUGUUGGUUUUCGGAACCCCGAGGUAAUGAUUAAUAGGGACAGAUGGGGGCAUUCGUAUUGCGACGUUAGAGGUGAAAUUCUUGGAUCGUCGCAAGACGGACAGAAGCGAAAGCAUUUGCCAAAAAUGUUUUCUUUAAUCAAGAACGAAAGUUAGAGGUUCGAAGGCGAUCAGAUACCGCCCUAGUUCUAACCAUAAACGAUGCCAGCUAGCGAUCCGCCGAAGUUCCUCCGAUGACUCGGCGGGCAGCUUCCGGGAAACCAAAGCUUUUGGGUUCCGGGGGAAGUAUGGUUGCAAAGCUGAAACUUAAAGGAAUUGACGGAAGGGCACCACCAGGAGUGGAGCCUGCGGCUUAAUUUGACUCAACACGGGAAACCUCACCAGGCCCGGACACCGGAAGGAUUGACAGAUUGAGAGCUCUUUCUUGAUUCGGUGGGUGGUGGUGCAUGGCCGUUCUUAGUUGGUGGAGCGAUUUGUCUGGUUAAU